GAUGAACGCUGGCGGCGUGCCUAAUACAUGCAAGUCGAGCGAACAGACGAGGAGCUUGCUCCUCUGACGUUAGCGGCGGACGGGUGAGUAACGCGUGGAUAACCUACCUAUAAGACUGGGAUAACUUCGGGAAACCGGAGCUAAUACCGGAUAAUAUUUUGAACCGCAUGGUUCAAUAGUGAAAGACGGUUUUGCUGUCACUUAUAGAUGGAUCCGCGCCGCAUUAGCUAGUUGGUAAGGUAACGGCUUACCAAGGCAACGAUGCGUAGCCGACCUGAGAGGGUGAUCGGCCACACUGGAACUGAGACACGGUCCAGACUCCUACGGGAGGCAGCAGUAGGGAAUCUUCCGCAAUGGGCGAAAGCUUGACGGAGCAACGCCGCGUGAGUGAUGAAGGUCUUCGGAUCGUAAAACUCUGUUAUUAGGGAAGAACAAAUGUGUAAGUAACUAUGCACGUCUUGACGGUACCUAAUCAGAAAGCCACGGCUAACUACGUG
This 497-nucleotide ribosomal RNA is filed under the name uncultured bacterium. RNAcentral describes it as "partial 16S ribosomal RNA". It matches the Rfam family "Bacterial small subunit ribosomal RNA", at positions 28 to 507 of the family's 1533-position model. The record is from RNAcentral.